RNAcentral lists this ribosomal RNA (459 nucleotides) under uncultured bacterium. RNAcentral describes it as "partial 16S ribosomal RNA". It matches the Rfam family "Bacterial small subunit ribosomal RNA", at positions 338 to 795 of the family's 1533-position model. The record is from RNAcentral.
CCUACGUGUGGCAGCAGUGAGGAAUAUUGGUCAAUGGGCGAGAGCCUGAACCAGCCAAGUCGCGUGAGGGAAGACGGUCCUAUGGAUUGUAAACCUCUUUUGCCGGGGAGCAAAAAGCGUUACGUGUACCGCAUCGAGAGUACCCGGAGAAAAAGCAUCGGCUAACUCCGUGCCAGCAGCCGCGGUAAUACGGAGGAUGCGAGCGUUAUCCGGAUUUAUUGGGUUUAAAGGGUGCGAAGGCGGCGGGUUAAGUAAGCGGUAAAAUUCCGGGGCUCAACCCCGACAAGCCGUUGCAACUGGCUUGCUAGAGUGGGCGAGAGGUAUGCGGAAUGCGUGGUGUAGAGGUGAAAUGCAUAGAUAGCACGAAGAACUCCGAUUGCGAAGGCAGCAUACCGGCGCGCAACUGACGCUCAGGCACGAAAGCGUGGGUAUCGAACAGGAUUAGAUACCCGGGUAGUC